UACGUAGGGUGCGAGCGUUGUCCGGAAUUACUGGGCGUAAAGAGCUCGUAGGUGGUUUGUCGCGUUGUUCGUGAAAUCUCACGGCUUAACUGUGGAGCGUGCGGGCGAUACGGGCAGACUAGAGUACUGCAGGGGAGACUGGAAUUCCUGGUGUAGCGGUGAAAUGCGCAGAUAUCAGGAGGAACACCGGUGGCGAAGGCGGAUCUCUGGGCCGAUACUGACGCUGAGGAGCGAAAGCGUGGGGAGCGAACAGG
RNAcentral lists this ribosomal RNA (254 nucleotides) under uncultured bacterium. Its description in RNAcentral is "partial 16S ribosomal RNA". It matches the Rfam family "Bacterial small subunit ribosomal RNA", at positions 524 to 776 of the family's 1533-position model. The record is from RNAcentral.